RNAcentral lists this ribosomal RNA (691 nucleotides) under uncultured bacterium. Its description in RNAcentral is "bacterial SSU rRNA". It matches the Rfam family "Bacterial small subunit ribosomal RNA", at positions 56 to 795 of the family's 1533-position model. The record is from RNAcentral.
UGCAGUCGACGAACUCUUCGGAGUUAGUGGCGGACGGGUGAGUAACACGUGGGAACGUGCCUUUAGGUUCGGAAUAACUCAGGGAAACUUGUGCUAAUACCGAAUGUGCCCUUCGGGGGAAAGAUUUAUCGCCUUUAGAGCGGCCCGCGUCUGAUUAGCUAGUUGGUGAGGUAAAGGCUCACCAAGGCGACGAUCAGUAGCUGGUCUGAGAGGAUGAUCAGCCACAUUGGGACUGAGACACGGCCCAAACUCCUACGGGAGGCAGCAGUGGGGAAUCUUGCGCAAUGGGCGAAAGCCUGACGCAGCCAUGCCGCGUGAAUGAUGAAGGUCUUAGGAUUGUAAAAUUCUUUCACCGGGGACGAUAAUGACGGUACCCGGAGAAGAAGCCCCGGCUAACUUCGUGCCAGCAGCCGCGGUAAUACGAAGGGGGCUAGCGUUGCUCGGAAUUACUGGGCGUAAAGGGAGCGUAGGCGGACAUUUAAGUCAGGGGUGAAAUCCCGGGGCUCAACCUCGGAAUUGCCUUUGAUACUGGGUGUCUUGAGUAUGAGAGAGGUGUGUGGAACUCCGAGUGUAGAGGUGAAAUUCGUAGAUAUUCGGAAGAACACCAGUGGCGAAGGCGACACACUGGCUCAUUACUGACGCUGAGGCUCGAAAGCGUGGGGAGCAAACAGGAUUAGAUACCCUGGUAGUC